GGCCGUCGUCAGUUCGUACUGUGAAGCAUCCUGUUAAGUCAGGCAACGAGCGAGACCCACGCCAACAGUUGCCAGCUCGUCCUCCGGGAUGGUGGGGACACUGUUGGGACCGCCUCUGCUAAAGAGGAGGAAGGAAUGGGCAACGGUAGGUCAGCAUGCCCCGAAUUAUCUGGGCUACACGCGGGCUACAAUGGGUGGGACAAUGGGUAUCGACACCGAAAGGUGAAGGCAAUCUCCUAAACCCAUCCGUAGUUCGGAUUGUGGGCUGCAACUCGCCCACAUGAAGCUGGAAUCUGUAGUAAUCGUGUCUCAAAAUGGCACGGUGAAUAUGUCCCUGCUCCUU
RNAcentral lists this ribosomal RNA (343 nucleotides) under uncultured Methanomicrobiales archaeon. RNAcentral's name for it is "bacterial SSU rRNA". It matches the Rfam family "Archaeal small subunit ribosomal RNA", at positions 996 to 1338 of the family's 1478-position model. The record is from RNAcentral. Lineage: Archaea; Methanobacteriati; Methanobacteriota; Methanomicrobia; Methanomicrobiales.